CCUACGGGAGGCAGCAGUAGGGAAUAUUGCUCAAUGGGGGAAACCCUGAAGCAGCAACGCCGCGUGGAGGAUGAAGGUUUUCGGAUUGUAAACCCCUUUUGUUAGAGAAGAUAAUGACGGUAUCUAACGAAUAAGCACCGGCUAACUCCGUUCCAGCAGCCGCGGUAAUACGGAGGGUGCAAGCGUUACUCGGAAUCACUGGGCGUAAAGCGCGCGUAGGCGGGAUAGCAAGUCAGAUGUGAAAUCCUAUGGCUUAACCAUAGAACUGCAUUUUAAACUGUAAUUCUAGAGUGUGGGAGAGGUAGGCGGAAUGGUUGGUGUAGGGGUAAAAGGCGUAGAGAUCAAGAGGAAGACUCAUUGCGAAGGCGACCUGCUAGAACAUAACUGACGCUGAUGCGCGAAAGCGUGGGGAGCAAACAGGAUUAGAUACCCCGGUAGUC
RNAcentral lists this ribosomal RNA (440 nucleotides) under uncultured bacterium. Its description in RNAcentral is "partial 16S ribosomal RNA". It matches the Rfam family "Bacterial small subunit ribosomal RNA", at positions 338 to 795 of the family's 1533-position model. The record is from RNAcentral.